CAGUCGCCGCGGGAACACAGAGGGUGCGAGCGUUAAUCGGAUUUACUGGGCGUAAAGCGUGCGUAGGCGGCUUUUUAAGUCGGAUGUGAAAUCCCUGAGCUUAACUUAGGAAUUGCAUUCGAUACUGGGAAGCUAGAGUAUGGGAGAGGAUGGUAGAAUUCCAGGUGUAGCGGUGAAAUGCGUAGAGAUCUGGAGGAAUACCGAUGGCGAAGGCAGCCAUCUGGCCUAAUACUGACGCUGAGGUACGAAAGCAUGGGGAGCAAACAGGAUUAGAUACCCCAGUAGUCCCUGUCUCUUAUAA
Molecule: ribosomal RNA, 301 nt
Filed under: uncultured bacterium
Lineage: Bacteria
Description: partial 16S ribosomal RNA
Rfam family: Bacterial small subunit ribosomal RNA
Source: RNAcentral